AGGUAAUGGCUCACCAAGGCAUCGACGGGUAGCGGGACUGAGAGGUUGGCCCGCAACAUCGGGACUGAGACACUGCCCGGACCUCCACGGAGGGCUGCAGUAACGAAUAUUGUGCAAUGGGCGAAAGCCUGACACAGCGACGCCGCGUGUAGGAGGAAGUCCUUCGGGAUGUAAACUACUGUCAGGGGGAAGAAAGUGCGCUUCGGCGCAUUGAUCUAACCCAAAGGAAGUCACGGCUAACUUCGUGCCAGCAGCCGCGGUAAGACGAAGGUGGCAAGCGUUGUUCGGUAUUACUGGGCUUAAAGCGUGUGUAGGCGGAAAAUUAAGCGUUGUGUGAAAUCCCCCGGCUUAACCGGGGAACUGCACAACGAACUGGUUUUCUUGAGGCAAGUAGGGGUGCAUGGAACUCUUGGUGGAGCGGUGGAAUGCGUAGAUAUCAAGAGGAACGCCAGCGGAGAAAUCGGUGCACUGGGCUUGUCCUGACGCUGAGACACGAAAGCGUGGGUAGCGAACGGGAUUAGAUACCCCGGUAGUCCACGCCGUAAACGAUGCCUACUAGGUUGUGAAAGUUCUGACACUCGCACAGCCGAAGCAAAAGUGUUAAGUAGGCCGCCUGGGGAGUACGGUCGCAAGGCUAAAACUCAAAGGAAUUGACGGGGGCUCACACAAGCGGUGGAGCAUGUGGAUCAAUUCGAAUCAACGCGCAGAACCUUACCUGGGUUUGACAUGCAUGUAUGGUUGCCAGGAAACUGGUUAAUCUGCCCUUCGGGGUGAAACUUGCACAGGUGCUGCAUGGCUGUCGUCAGCUCGUGUCGUGAGAUGUCGGGUUAAGUCCUUUAACGAGCGAAACCCUUGCCGUUAGUUGCCAGCGGGUAAUGCCGGGGACUCUAGCGGGACUGCCGGUGUCAAACCGGAGGAAGGUGGGGACGACGUCAAGUCAUCAUGGCCUUUAUGCCCAGGGCCUCACGUGCUACAAUGGCGGCUACAGAGCGAUGCGAGACCGUGAGGUGGAGCAAAUCGCAAAAAGGUCGCCCCAGUUCGGAUUGCAGGCUGACAACUCGCCUGCAUGAAGUUGGAAUCGCUAGUAAUCGCGUAUCAGCUACGACGCGGUGAAUAUGUUCCUGAGCCUUGUACACACCGCCCGUCAAGUCACGGGAGUUGGGAGUACCCGAAGUCAGUUUGCUAACCCGCAAGGGAUGCGACUGCCGACGGUAAGUCCGAUGACUGGGAUUAAGUCGUAACAAGGUA
RNAcentral lists this ribosomal RNA (1248 nucleotides) under metagenome. RNAcentral's name for it is "bacterial SSU rRNA". It matches the Rfam family "Bacterial small subunit ribosomal RNA", at positions 255 to 1498 of the family's 1533-position model. The record is from RNAcentral.